Molecule: unclassified non-coding RNA, 267 nt
Filed under: plant metagenome
Description: partial contains small subunit ribosomal RNA, internal transcribed spacer 1, and 5.8S ribosomal RNA
Source: RNAcentral
UUUCCGUAGGUGAACCUGCGGAAGGAUCAUUAUCGUACAAAAUGCGAGGGGCAUGCGAGGGCUGUCGCUGACCCAAAAGUCGUGCACGCCCGAGUGUGUCCUCUUGCAUAAUAAUCCAUCUCACCCUUUGUGCAUCACCGCGUGGGCACCCUUCGGGAUCAUCUCGGAGGGGGGCUCGCGCUUUCACACAAACCCCCCUUUUAAAAGUGUAGAAUGACCACAUUUAUGCAAUCAAUACAACUUUCAACAACGGAUCUCUUGGCUCUC